Molecule: long non-coding RNA, 387 nt
Organism: Haliotis rubra (blacklip abalone)
Lineage: Eukaryota; Metazoa; Mollusca; Gastropoda; Lepetellida; Haliotidae
Exons: 3
Source: RefSeq, a predicted model, not a curated record
UUUGAAAAACUGUCAUACAAACAAUGAAAGGAUAAUAUGAGAUGAAUAAUAAAACCAAUAUAUUUACUACAUUAACUUGUGAUUGGAAAAUAUUAUUGUAACAAAUACCAUUCAUUCACAGUGAAACUAUUAUGCAAAUUCGGUCUUAAAAAGCAUAAAGUUAUUCCCAAGUAUUGUUUAUCGAAAUGUCCCGAUUGACUAAAGAGGUUUUUAAUGUCCUCCAUCUAUACGUUACACAGCUUAAAAUCAAGCCUCACUUUUGCCUGAUCUCUCGGAGACCGCGUUGAACGUCUUUAUUAUGGCUGAAACAUACAUUUGACAGAGAUGAGUCAGAUUGUGAAAUAGCCUCGCAGUUAUUUUUAAAAAAGAUAUACAAUACAAAAUCAA